GUAGCUUUUGCGACUAGCGACUGG
RNAcentral lists this non-coding RNA (24 nucleotides) under Cricetulus griseus (Chinese hamster). Lineage: Eukaryota; Metazoa; Chordata; Mammalia; Rodentia; Cricetidae. The record is from RNAcentral.